Molecule: ribosomal RNA, 400 nt
Filed under: uncultured bacterium
Lineage: Bacteria
Description: bacterial SSU rRNA
Rfam family: Bacterial small subunit ribosomal RNA
Source: RNAcentral
UGGGGAAUCUUGCGCAAUGGGCGAAAGCCUGACGCAGCAACGCCGCGUGAGGGAAGAAGGCCUUCGGGUUGUAAACCUCUUUCAGUAGGGACGAAGCUUCCGGGGUUAAUAGCCUACGGGGUGACGGUACCUACAGAAGAAGCCCCGGCUAACUACGUGCCAGCAGCCGCGGUAAUACGUAGGGGGCAAGCGUUGUCCGGAAUCAUUGGGCGUAAAGCGCGUGUAGGCGGCUUGGUAAGUCUGGCGUGAAAUCUUGGGGCUCAACCCCAAGCCUGCGCUGGAUACUGCCUCGCUCGAGUCCGGGAGAGGAAAGCGGAAUUCCCAGUGUAGCGGUGAAAUGCGCAGAUAUUGGGAAGAACACCGAUGGCGAAGGCAGCUUUCUGGAACGGUACUGACGCUG